GAUGAAGAACGUAGCGAAAUGCGAUAAGUAAUGUGAAUUGCAGAAUUCAGUGAAUCAUCGAAUCUUUGAACGCACAUUGCGCCCAUUAGUAUUCUAGUGGGCAUGCCUGUUCGAGCGUCAUUUCUACCCUUAAGCCUAGCUUAGUAUUGGGAAUCGACUUUACUGUCGUUCCUCAAAUUCAACGGCGGAUUUAUAGCAAUCUCUGAACGUAGUAAUUUUUUUUCUCGUUUUUGAAAUACUAUAAACCUCAGCCGCUAAACCCCCAAUUUCUUAUGGUUGACCUCGGAUCAGGUAGGAAUACCCGCUGAACUUAAGCAUAUCAAUAAGCGGAGGA
This 334-nucleotide unclassified non-coding RNA is filed under the name soil metagenome. Its description in RNAcentral is "partial contains 5.8S ribosomal RNA, internal transcribed spacer 2, and large subunit ribosomal RNA". The stretch from base 1 to 120 matches the Rfam family "5.8S ribosomal RNA", at positions 35 to 154 of the family's 154-position model. The record is from RNAcentral.